AAGUCGGUUGUGAAAGCCUUCCGCUCAACGGAAGAACGGCAUCCGAUACUGCAUGGCUUGAGUGUGGGAGGGGAGAGUGGAACUUCUGGUGGAGCGGUGAAAUGCGUAGAUAUCAGAAGGAACACCGGCGGCGAAGGCGACUCUCUGGUCCAUAGCUGACGCUGAGUGUGCGAAAGCUAGGGGAGCAAACGGGAUUAGAUACCCCGGUAGUCCUAGCCGUAAACGAU
This 227-nucleotide ribosomal RNA is filed under the name uncultured bacterium. RNAcentral describes it as "partial 16S ribosomal RNA". It matches the Rfam family "Bacterial small subunit ribosomal RNA", at positions 585 to 810 of the family's 1533-position model. The record is from RNAcentral.